AAGUGGCUGAGAUUUUAAGCGUUAGAUUGUAAAUCUAGUUACGGGUUGCCCUUUAAUACUUA
Molecule: transfer RNA, 62 nt
Filed under: Streptosyllis sp. THS1
Lineage: Eukaryota; Metazoa; Annelida; Polychaeta; Phyllodocida; Syllidae
Description: tRNA-Tyr
Source: RNAcentral